RNAcentral lists this transfer RNA (73 nucleotides) under Ophiophagus hannah (king cobra). It matches the Rfam family "tRNA". From Rfam's summary of the family: Transfer RNA (tRNA) molecules are approximately 80 nucleotides in length. Their secondary structure includes four short double-helical elements and three loops (D, anti-codon, and T loops). Lineage: Eukaryota; Metazoa; Chordata; Lepidosauria; Squamata; Elapidae. The record is from Rfam by way of RNAcentral.
AGCAGUUUGGCCUAGUGGUUAAGGCAUCAGGCUAGAAGUCAGGAAAUUGUGAGUUCUAAUCUCACCUUAGCUC